Molecule: ribosomal RNA, 450 nt
Filed under: Streptococcus cristatus
Lineage: Bacteria; Bacillati; Bacillota; Bacilli; Lactobacillales; Streptococcaceae
Description: bacterial SSU rRNA
Rfam family: Bacterial small subunit ribosomal RNA
Source: RNAcentral
GACGAACGCUGGCGGCGUGCCUAAUACAUGCAAGUAGAACGCUGAAGGAGGAGCUUGCUCUUCUGGAUGAGUUGCGAACGGGUGAGUAACGCGUAGGUAACCUGCCUGGUAGCGGGGGAUAACUAUUGGAAACGAUAGCUAAUACCGCAUAAUAUUGACUAUUGCAUGAUAGUCAAUUGAAAGGUGCAAAUGCACCACUACCAGAUGGACCUGCGUUGUAUUAGCUAGUUGGUGGGGUAACGGCUCACCAAGGCGACGAUACAUAGCCGACCUGAGAGGGUGAUCGGCCACACUGGGACUGAGACACGGCCCAGACUCCUACGGGAGGCAGCAGUAGGGAAUCUCCGGCAAUGGACGGAAGUCUGACCGAGCAACGCCGCGUGAGUGAAGAAGGUUUUCGGAUCGUAAAGCUCUGUUGUAAGAGAAGAAACGAGUGUGAGAAGUGGAAAG